Molecule: ribosomal RNA, 259 nt
Filed under: uncultured bacterium
Lineage: Bacteria
Description: partial 16S ribosomal RNA
Rfam family: Bacterial small subunit ribosomal RNA
Source: RNAcentral
UGGCGGACGGGUGAGUAACGCGUGGGCAACCUGCCCCAUACAGGGGGAUAACAGCCGGAAACGGCUGCUAAAACCGCAUAAGCGCACAAGGGCCGCAUGGCCUGGUGUGAAAAACUCCGGUGGUAUGGGAUGGGCCCGCGUCUGAUUAGCUAGUUGGCGGGGGAGAGGCCCACCAAGGCGACGAUCAGUAGCCGACCUGAGAGGGUGGCCGGCCACAUUGGGACUGAGACACGGCCCAAACUCCUACGGGAGGCAGCAG